CAGUCGCCGCGGGAAUACGUAGGUGGCAAGCGUUGUCCGGAAUUAUUGGGCGUAAAGGGCUCGCAGGCGGUUUCUUAAGUCUGAUGUGAAAGCCCCCGGCUCAACCGGGGAGGGUCAUUGGAAACUGGGAAACUUGAGUGCAGAAGAGGAGAGUGGAAUUCCACGUGUAGCGGUGAAAUGCGUAGAGAUGUGGAGGAACACCAGUGGCGAAGGCGACUCUCUGGUCUGUAACUGACGCUGAGGAGCGAAAGCGUGGGGAGCGAACAGGAUUAGAUACCCCGGUAGUCCAUGUCUCUUAUAC
Molecule: ribosomal RNA, 301 nt
Filed under: uncultured bacterium
Lineage: Bacteria
Description: partial 16S ribosomal RNA
Rfam family: Bacterial small subunit ribosomal RNA
Source: RNAcentral